GAACGGGUGAGUAACACGUGGGCAACCUGCCCAAAAGAGGGGGAUAACACUUGGAAACAGGUGCUAAUACCGCAUAACCAUAGUUACCGCAUGGUAACUAUGUAAAAGGUGGCUAUGCUACCGCUUUUGGAUGGGCCCGCGGCGCAUUAGCUAGUUGGUGGGGUAAAGGCUUACCAAGGCAAUGAUGCGUAGCCGAACUGAGAGGUUGAUCGGCCACAUUGGGACUGAGACACGGCCCAAACUCCUACGGGAGGCAGCAGUAGGGAAUCUUCCACAAUGGGCGAAAGCCUGAUGGAGCAACGCCGCGUGGGUGAAGAAGGUCUUCGGAUCGUAAAACCCUGUUGUUAGAGAAGAAAGUGCGUGAGAGUAACUGUUCACGUUUCGACGGUAUCUAACCAGAAAGCCACGGCUAACUACGUGCCAGCAGCCGCGGUAAUACGUAGGUGGCAAGCGUUAUCCGGAUUUAUUGGGCGUAAAGGGAACGCAGGCGGUCUUUUAAGUCUGAUGUGAAAGCCUUCGGCUUAACCGGAGUAGUGCAUUGGAAACUGGGA
RNAcentral lists this ribosomal RNA (551 nucleotides) under uncultured bacterium. Its description in RNAcentral is "bacterial SSU rRNA". It matches the Rfam family "Bacterial small subunit ribosomal RNA", at positions 100 to 638 of the family's 1533-position model. The record is from RNAcentral.